AGCCGGAAUAGCUCAGUUGGUAGAGCAGAGGACUGAAAAUCCUCGUGUC
Molecule: transfer RNA, 49 nt
Filed under: Dicranum scoparium
Lineage: Eukaryota; Viridiplantae; Streptophyta; Bryopsida; Dicranales; Dicranaceae
Also listed under: 9 other names
Description: partial tRNA-Phe
Rfam family: tRNA
About the family: Transfer RNA (tRNA) molecules are approximately 80 nucleotides in length.
Source: RNAcentral